UAGCAGCACGUAAAUAUUGGUGUGAGAAUAGACCCCAACCCCAAUAUUAGCUGUGCUGCUUC
MicroRNA precursor from Hucho hucho (huchen), 62 nucleotides. The record is from Ensembl. NCBI's taxonomy places the organism in Eukaryota, Metazoa, Chordata, Actinopteri, Salmoniformes, Salmonidae.